GACGAACGCUGGCGGCGUGCUUAACACAUGCAAGUCGAACGGAAAGGCCCUGCUUGCAGGGUACUCGAGUGGCGAACGGGUGAGUAACACGUGGGUGAUCUGCCCUGCACUUCGGGAUAAGCUUGGGAAACUGGGUCUAAUACCGGAUAGGAGCCAUCUUUAGUGUGGUGGUUGGAAAGUUUUUUCGGUGUAGGAUGAGCUCGCGGCCUAUCAGCUUGUUGGUGGGGUAAUGGCCUACCAAGGCGGCGACGGGUAGCCGGCCUGAGAGGGUGUACGGCCACAUUGGGACUGAGAUACGGCCCAGACUCCUACGGGAGGCAGCAGUGGGGAAUAUUGCACAAUGGGCGCAAGCCUGAUGCAGCGACGCCGCGUGGGGAUGAAGGCCUUCGGGUUGUAAACUCCUUUCGCUAGGGACGAAGCUUUUUUGUGACGGUACCUAGAUAAGAAGCACCGGCUAACUACGUG
RNAcentral lists this ribosomal RNA (465 nucleotides) under uncultured bacterium. RNAcentral describes it as "partial 16S ribosomal RNA". It matches the Rfam family "Bacterial small subunit ribosomal RNA", at positions 28 to 507 of the family's 1533-position model. The record is from RNAcentral.